This 518-nucleotide ribosomal RNA is filed under the name uncultured fungus. RNAcentral's name for it is "SSU rRNA". It matches the Rfam family "Eukaryotic small subunit ribosomal RNA", at positions 214 to 732 of the family's 1831-position model. The record is from RNAcentral. Lineage: Eukaryota; Fungi.
AUAAAAAACCAAUGCCCUUCGGGGCUCCUUGGUGAUUCAUAAUAACUUAACGAAUCGCAUGGCCUUGUGCCGGCGAUGGUUCAUUCAAAUUUCUGCCCUAUCAACUUUCGAUGGUAGGAUAGUGGCCUACCAUGGUUUCAACGGGUAACGGGGAAUUAGGGUUCUAUUCCGGAGAGGGAGCCUGAGAAACGGCUACCACAUCCAAGGAAGGCAACAGGCGCGCAAAUUACCCAAUCCCGACACGGGGAGGUAGUGACAAUAAAUACUGAUACAGGGCUCUUUUGGGUCUUGUAAUUGGAAUGAGUACAAUUUAAAUCCCUUAACGAGGAACAAUUGGAGGGCAAGUCUGGUGCCAGCAGCCGCGGUAAUUCCAGCUCCAAUAGCGUAUAUUAAAGUUGUUGCAGUUAAAAAGCUCGUAGUUGAACCUUGGGCCUGGCUGGCCGGUCCGCCUCACCGCGUGCACUGGUCCGGCCGGGCCUUUCCUUCUGGGGAGCCGCAUGCCCUUCACUGGGUGUGUC